This 106-nucleotide non-coding RNA is filed under the name Halothermothrix orenii. Its description in RNAcentral is "SAM-I sequence". It matches the Rfam family "SAM riboswitch aptamer (S box leader)". From Rfam's summary of the family: The SAM riboswitch is found upstream of a number of genes which code for proteins involved in methionine or cysteine biosynthesis in Gram-positive bacteria. The record is from RNAcentral. RNAcentral also lists the same sequence under 1 other name. Lineage: Bacteria; Bacillati; Bacillota; Clostridia; Halanaerobiales; Halothermotrichaceae.
CUCUUAUCAAGAGUGGUGGAGGGACUGGCCCGAUGAAACCCGGCAACCUACCAAUGAAUGACAGGUAAGGUGCCAAUUCCUGCAGCAAAAUGCUGGAAGAUGAGAG